RNAcentral lists this ribosomal RNA (253 nucleotides) under uncultured bacterium. RNAcentral describes it as "partial 16S ribosomal RNA". It matches the Rfam family "Bacterial small subunit ribosomal RNA", at positions 524 to 776 of the family's 1533-position model. The record is from RNAcentral.
GACGUAGGGCGCGAGCGUUAAUCGGAAUUACUGGGCGUAAAGCGUGCGCAGGCGGUUUUGUAAGCCAGAUGUGAAAUCCCCGGGCUUAACCUGGGAACUGCAUUUGGGACUGCAAGGCUUGAGUACGGCAGAGGGGGGUAGAAUUCCUGGUGUAGCAGUGAAAUGCGUAGAUAUUGGGAGGAACACCAGUGGCGAAGGCGGCUCGCUGGACCGGUUCUGACGCUGAUGCGCGAAAGCGUGGGGAGCAAACGGG